RNAcentral lists this ribosomal RNA (253 nucleotides) under uncultured bacterium. RNAcentral describes it as "partial 16S ribosomal RNA". It matches the Rfam family "Bacterial small subunit ribosomal RNA", at positions 524 to 776 of the family's 1533-position model. The record is from RNAcentral.
UACGUAGGGGGCAAGCGUUGGUCCGGAUUUAUUGGGCGUAAAGAGCGUGUAGGCGGCCAGGUAGGUCAGCUGUGAAAACUCGAGGCUCAACCUCGAGACGCCGGUUGAAACCAUCUGGCUAGAGUCCGGAAGAGGAGAGUGGAAUUCCUGGUGUAGCGGUGAAUGCGCAGAUAUCAGGAAGAACACCCGUGGCUAAGGCGGCUCUCUAGUACGGUACUGACGCUGAGACGCGAAAGCGUGGGGAGCGAACAGG